Molecule: transfer RNA, 68 nt
Filed under: Marmota monax (woodchuck)
Lineage: Eukaryota; Metazoa; Chordata; Mammalia; Rodentia; Sciuridae
Description: tRNA.Pro
Source: RNAcentral
GGAUUGUGGCUCGGUGGUAGAGGUCUUGCCUAGGAUGUGUGAGGUCCUGGGUUCGAUCCUCAGCACCA